UAUAUAUAUAUAUAUAUAUAUACACAUCUUACAUUGUAUAUGUAUUUCUAUGAUGCACACUCUGGUAAAUGCAAAAGUAUAAAGCCAAAGGGUCGCUUUUAUUUGCGAUAACCAUUGAAGGACAUCCAACCGGUAGAAUCUAAAAAAAGUAAACCUGUUGCUGCAAAGUUUAUUUAAAGAAUGUCAUGUACUAACACGUUAACGUAAAUAUAAACGUGUUUCAAAUCGUUA
This is a long non-coding RNA of Vespula pensylvanica (western yellowjacket), 231 nucleotides long. RefSeq lists it as uncharacterized. The transcript has 2 exons. The record is from RefSeq and is a predicted model, not a curated record. NCBI's taxonomy places the organism in Eukaryota, Metazoa, Arthropoda, Insecta, Hymenoptera, Vespidae.